Molecule: long non-coding RNA, 231 nt
Filed under: Elaeis guineensis (African oil palm)
Lineage: Eukaryota; Viridiplantae; Streptophyta; Magnoliopsida; Arecales; Arecaceae
Description: long non-coding RNA (EGUI_LNC050454)
Source: RNAcentral
CCUUUUUCUCUUCUCCCACAAGAGUAGCUUAGUCAUAUUUUUUCAAAGAGAUGAUACAUAAAUUAGGUAUGACUCAGCAGUCAAUGAGUCUAAAAGCCCAUAAUUCUCCAGUUUGUUAAUCAUUUCUUUUCCAAUACGACCUAGCCAUUGGCUCCACAUAUACUUUAGAUUUAUCUCAAUUCUGGAUCUCUCAGAUCCAAUGACAUUCACUGCUUACUCAAUUAAGUUCAC